Molecule: ribosomal RNA, 516 nt
Filed under: Staphylococcus aureus
Lineage: Bacteria; Bacillati; Bacillota; Bacilli; Caryophanales; Staphylococcaceae
Description: partial 23S ribosomal RNA
Rfam family: Bacterial large subunit ribosomal RNA
Source: RNAcentral
CACUGCCGAGAAAAGCCUCUAGAUAGAAAAUAGGUGCCCGUACCGCAAACCGACACAGGUAGUCAAGAUGAGAAUUCUAAGGUGAGCGAGCGAACUCUCGUUAAGGAACUCGGCAAAAUGACCCCGUAACUUCGGGAGAAGGGGUGCUCUUUAGGGUUAACGCCCAGAAGAGCCGCAGUGAAUAGGCCCAAGCGACUGUUUAUCAAAAACACAGGUCUCUGCUAAACCGUAAGGUGAUGUAUAGGGGCUGACGCCUGCCCGGUGCUGGAAGGUUAAGAGGAGUGGUUAGCUUCUGCGAAGCUACGAAUCGAAGCCCCAGUAAACGGCGGCCGUAACUAUAACGGUCCUAAGGUAGCGAAAUUCCUUGUCGGGUAAGUUCCGACCCGCACGAAAGGCGUAACGAUUUGGGCACUGUCUCAACGAGAGACUCGGUGAAAUCAUAGUACCUGUGAAGAUGCAGGUUACCCGCGACAGGACGGAAAGACCCCGUGGAGCUUUACUGUAGCCUGAUAUUGA